GAUUAAGCCAUGCAUGUGUAAGUAUAAAUAGUUAACUUUGAAACUGCGAAUGGCUCAUUAUAUCAGUUAUAGUUUAUUUGAUGAAGAAUACUAAUUGGAUAACCGUAGUAAUUCUAGAGCUAAUACAUGUAUAAAGUCUUGUAGACUGCAUUUAUUAGAAUGAAAACCAUAGGUUUCGGCCUAUUCGUGAGUAAUAAUAACUAAUCAUAUCGUAUGCUUAUGUAACGA
This 228-nucleotide ribosomal RNA is filed under the name Blastocystis sp. RNAcentral's name for it is "partial small subunit ribosomal RNA". It matches the Rfam family "Eukaryotic small subunit ribosomal RNA", at positions 42 to 287 of the family's 1831-position model. Lineage: Eukaryota; Bigyra; Opalinata; Blastocystidae. The record is from RNAcentral.